RNAcentral lists this ribosomal RNA (253 nucleotides) under uncultured bacterium. RNAcentral describes it as "partial 16S ribosomal RNA". It matches the Rfam family "Bacterial small subunit ribosomal RNA", at positions 524 to 776 of the family's 1533-position model. The record is from RNAcentral.
UACAGAGGUCUCGAGCGUUGGUCGGAUUCAUUGGGCGUAAAGGGUGCGCAGGCGGUGUGGCAAGUCUGGUGUGCAAGCUUGGGGCUCAAACCCAAAAUUGCAUUGGAUACUGCCAUGCUUGAGGACUGUAGAGGAGAGUGGAAUUCAAGGUGUAGCAGUGAAAUGCGUAGAUAUCGUGAGGAAGACCAGUUGCGAAAGCGACUCUCUGGGCAGUUCCUGACGCUCAUGCAAGAAGGCCAGGGGAGCAAACGGG